AUGCCGUUUUCUUCGCCCUUCUUCCGUUUGAUCUUAUGUUUGCUUGUGUCUCCAUGUGCCUUCUAUGUGCUUGCAUCUUUGCUUGCUAAAUCUAUUGAUAUGGAUCCACUUAAAGUUUUCGACAUGGAUCAUCUUCGAUCCUUAUGCGCUCGUGCUGAAACCCCAACUAGCCGAGUUGAUGGGAAAUCAUUAGAUGAGCAUGCUCAUUUUCUGCGUCAUCGUGUGUCUCAAAAAGGGGUACUUUUAUGGGAUCAAAUAAACCGUUUGUUGUGUUAUGCUUGGAAUCUUUGUGAAAUUUGUGAUUUUACUUGUUGCUCUAAGAACCCUAAAAAACACCUUCCCUACCUAUGUGAGUUUAAUGAUAAUGAAAUCUUAUCUUCUUAUGCAAAGGGUCUUUAUAGUUAA
This 405-nucleotide ribosomal RNA is filed under the name Triticum aestivum (bread wheat). Its description in RNAcentral is "partial small subunit ribosomal RNA". The record is from RNAcentral. Lineage: Eukaryota; Viridiplantae; Streptophyta; Magnoliopsida; Poales; Poaceae.